Molecule: small RNA, 86 nt
Filed under: Pedobacter sp. Hv1
Lineage: Bacteria; Pseudomonadati; Bacteroidota; Sphingobacteriia; Sphingobacteriales; Sphingobacteriaceae
Description: Flavo-1 RNA
Rfam family: Flavo-1 RNA
Source: Rfam by way of RNAcentral
AGCUAAACGGGAUUGAAAUGGAAAUCCUUUUUGUAUGCUGAGCUUGUCGAAGCACAAAAAGAUUGGAAUGUAAAGCCCGGCUAACA